RNAcentral lists this ribosomal RNA (497 nucleotides) under uncultured bacterium. RNAcentral's name for it is "partial 16S ribosomal RNA". It matches the Rfam family "Bacterial small subunit ribosomal RNA", at positions 28 to 507 of the family's 1533-position model. The record is from RNAcentral.
GGUGGGGGGGGGGGGCGGGGCGGGGGCGUGCAGGGCGGGCGAGCGGGGGAGGAGCUUGCUCCUCGGAUGUGCGCGGCGGACGGGUGAGUAGCACGUGGAUAACCUACCUCUAAUACGGGGAUAACUUCGUGAAACCGUAGCUAAUACCGGCUAAUAUUUUGACCCGCAUGGUUCCAACGUGAAAGACGGUCUUGCUGUCACUUAUCGAUGGAUCCGCGCUGCAUUAGCUAUUUGGUAAGGUAACGGCUUACCAAGGCAACGAUGCAUAGCCGACCUGAGAGGGUGAUCGGCCACACUGGAACUGAGACACGGUCCAGACUCCUACGGGAGGCAGCAGUAGGGAAGCUUCCGCAAUGGGCGAAAGCCUGACGGAGCAACGCCGCGUGAGUGAUGAAGGUCUUCGGAUCGUAAAACUCUGGUAUUAGGGAAGAACAUAUGUGUAAGUAACUGUGCACAUCUUGACGGUACCUAAUCAGAAAGCCACGGCUAACUACGUG